GACGAACCGUGCGAACGUUGUUCGGAGUCACUGGGCGUAAAGGGCGCGUAGGUGGCGACCCAAGUCGAUGGUGAAAGCUCGCCGCUCAACGGCGAGUCGGCCACUGAUACUGGGUUGCUCGAGCACUGUAGAGGCAGAUGGAAUUCCGGGUGUAGCGGUGGAAUGCGUAGAGAUCCGGAAGAACACCGGUGGCGAAGGCGGUCUGCUGGGCAGUAGCUGACACUGAGGCGCGACAGCGUGGGGAGCAAACAGG
RNAcentral lists this ribosomal RNA (253 nucleotides) under uncultured bacterium. Its description in RNAcentral is "partial 16S ribosomal RNA". It matches the Rfam family "Bacterial small subunit ribosomal RNA", at positions 524 to 776 of the family's 1533-position model. The record is from RNAcentral.